CAUGAGACCCCUGUCCCCUCUCCUCACAGAGGCCCAAAGGUGCCGAAGGUCGGGAAGAUCAGCUACAUGGACUUCGUGUGGUUUCUGCUCUCCUAGGGGGACAAAAAGACACCGGCCAGCAGAUGCAGUGCCUGGACACCCGGGUCAUUGAGCAUCUUCCCUUCCUGGACUGCAUGUGCCAGAUGAUGGACCUGGUGAAGCCAUGGAUCCCAGGUCCAGGAAGGUGAUCA
Molecule: long non-coding RNA, 230 nt
Organism: Arvicola amphibius (Eurasian water vole)
Lineage: Eukaryota; Metazoa; Chordata; Mammalia; Rodentia; Cricetidae
Exons: 3
Source: RefSeq, a predicted model, not a curated record